This 465-nucleotide ribosomal RNA is filed under the name uncultured Klebsiella sp. RNAcentral's name for it is "bacterial SSU rRNA". It matches the Rfam family "Bacterial small subunit ribosomal RNA", at positions 338 to 795 of the family's 1533-position model. The record is from RNAcentral. Lineage: Bacteria; Pseudomonadati; Pseudomonadota; Gammaproteobacteria; Enterobacterales; Enterobacteriaceae.
CCUACGGGAGGCAGCAGUGGGGAAUAUUGCACAAUGGGCGCAAGCCUGAUGCAGCCAUGCCGCGUGUGUGAAGAAGGCCUUCGGGUUGUAAAGCACUUUCAGCGGGGAGGAAGGCGGUGAGGUUAAUAACCUCAUCGAUUGCCGUUACCCGCAGAAGAAGCACCGGCUAACUCCGUGCCAGCAGCCGCGGUAAUACGGAGGGUGCAAGCGUUAAUCGGAAUUACUGGGCGUAAAGCGCACGCAGGCGGUCUGUCAAGUCGGAUGUGAAAUCCCCGGGCUCAACCUGGGAACUGCAUUCGAAACUGGCAGGCUAGAGUCUUGUAGAGGGGGGUAGAAUUCCAGGUGUAGCGGUGAAAUGCGUAGAGAUCUGGAGGAAUACCGGUGGCGAAGGCGGCCCCCUGGACAAAGACUGACGCUCAGGUGCGAAAGCGUGGGGAGCAAACAGGAUUAGAUACCCGAGUAGUC